GCCGGGUGCGGUGGCUUGCGCCUGUAAUCCCAGCACUUUGGGAGGCCGAGGUGGGCGGAUUACCUGAGGUCAGGAGUUCGAGACCAGCCUGGCCAACAUGGUGAAACCCCAUCUCUA
Unclassified non-coding RNA from Macaca fascicularis (crab-eating macaque), 117 nucleotides. It matches the Rfam family "Metazoan signal recognition particle RNA". From Rfam's summary of the family: The signal recognition particle (SRP) is a universally conserved ribonucleoprotein. It is involved in the co-translational targeting of proteins to membranes. The eukaryotic SRP consists of a 300-nucleotide 7S RNA and six proteins: SRPs 72, 68, 54, 19, 14, and 9. Lineage: Eukaryota; Metazoa; Chordata; Mammalia; Primates; Cercopithecidae. The record is from Ensembl.